RNAcentral lists this ribosomal RNA (457 nucleotides) under uncultured Fusarium. RNAcentral describes it as "SSU rRNA". It matches the Rfam family "Eukaryotic small subunit ribosomal RNA", at positions 624 to 1087 of the family's 1831-position model. Lineage: Eukaryota; Fungi; Ascomycota; Sordariomycetes; Hypocreales; Nectriaceae. The record is from RNAcentral.
AAGCUCGUAGUUGAACCUUGGGCCUGGCUGGCCGGUCCGCCUCACCGCGUGUACUGGUCCGGCCGGGCCUUUCCCUCUGUGGAACCCCAUGCCCUUCACUGGGUGUGGCGGGGAAACAGGACUUUUACUGUGAAAAAAUUAGAGUGCUCCAGGCAGGCCUAUGCUCGAAUACAUUAGCAUGGAAUAAUAGAAUAGGACGUGUGGUUCUAUUUUGUUGGUUUCUAGGACCGCCGUAAUGAUUAAUAGGGACAGUCGGGGGCAUCAGUAUUCAAUUGUCAGAGGUGAAAUUCUUGGAUUUAUUGAAGACUAACUACUGCGAAAGCAUUUGCCAAGGAUGUUUUCAUUAAUCAGGAACGAAGGUUAGGGGAUCGAAGACGAUCAGAUACCGUCGUAGUCUUAACCAUAAACUAUGCCGACUAGGGAUCGGACGGUGUUAUUUUUUGACCCGUUCGGCACC